Molecule: non-coding RNA, 4554 nt
Organism: Punica granatum (pomegranate)
Lineage: Eukaryota; Viridiplantae; Streptophyta; Magnoliopsida; Myrtales; Lythraceae
Source: RefSeq, a predicted model, not a curated record
GCCCCUGCCUCUCUCAAAAUGCUGGCGUUUGGUGGUGCCGUCUGCUUCCCGCCCCAUAUAAUGCCACUCUUCGCGCCCGCCUUCCUCCCUCUUCCUUCUCCUUCUACACACGGCCCUCAGCCUCUUUGUCUCGCCCCAAAAUUCUUGCCCCUUCGCCUGCCUUCCUCUCACCGGUCGUUUACUCUACGCCCAUGGCUCUCUUCCGUCGUUCGCCUUCUCCUUCGAGCAUACACUCACCUGCCGACCUCCCAGACGGUCCUUGCCCCCUCCCUCGCGUGUGCCUGCGACCGACCUUGCCCUGCCGGCUCCCUUGCUGCUACAUCUACGCCCCCAUCAGCUCUUCAGUGUUGAGGUUGCCCGCCUCUGCCUUCGAAAUGGCUGCCUUCCCAGUCAACCGCUCCUGCCUUUUCGGCGUCUACUGCUGGCGCUGAUUGUUCUCCAUUUCUGUUUUGCGCUGCCAUCUUAAACCUGUUCGAUGAAAUGCCUAUGACAGUCGACCCCGAUUUCCACUGCUCGCAGGAGAGGAUUUCGGUCCAUUUUCGAUUCAGUUUCCAGUCGCGUUCUAAUUCAUGUGGGCUUGGGAUAGCCGAGGGGAGGGUUCACCAGUAUGGAUGGUACACGAAGUACAACUAUAAAUGUCCGCACUGCCUGAAGAAACUCCACAUCAAAAUUAACGGCCAUCGGUCGGGACCACAAUUUCAGUUGCAGAUUGGGAUGCUGUGUAGCGAUGGAACUGAGGGUCUCCCAGAACUCAAUUCUUCCCAAUGAUGCCAUAUUUUAAGUUGCAGUAAGCGCAUAUUUGAAUCUGUUACAGUAAGAAACUACUCGCACAAAAAAAAAAAAAAAGAGUUGGUCACAGACAGAGGUAUUAAUUGAAUUGUUUUUUUUCCAAUGAUCAUUGCGAUUGGUUGAACAACUUAAAAUAGCUGUUCGUUAGUAAUUUAACUCCCAGUUUUGGAUUAUAGGACAAUAUAUUCAUUUGCAGCCAAUAAACUAUUUGUCCAAUAGACUAUGAUAGUCUUAAUUUGGAAAAUAAAUAUGGCUCGAUUAUGUUUAUCUUUUUGUUUCCUUUUUUAUUCUGGAGCCAAGGACAUACAUAUACAAUGCCUAUUAUAGGAUACAAAGAUGAGACAGGAUGAUGGAUCCUCCAUGUUUCUCUCCCCGUGGGAUUCUUGGACCCAUAUAUUAUCCUCAUCUGAGAUGUGCUGCAACAAUUAUCAGGUUCGUGCCUUGUUCGAAUGAUCCAGACUAGAGAGGGAUUUCAAACGGGAAUUCUGUUCGUGAAGCAUGGAAGUGCAAAGGUUUGUUCGUUUUGCUGGGCCAUUUUCAUUUCACUUUACAAUGAAGUAUGACUUUCGUGGCUAAAAAAACAAAGUAUUUGUAUAACUUCAGUAUUCCACUUUUUGGGAGCUCAAAUGUUGAUGUAUGGUCUCUCACGAAUAUCUGUAGGAAAGAAAGAAAAUAAAAUGAGUAUGAAAGUUAUUGGUUGGUCCAAAUUUCGUUUUGCCCAUUCCUCAAGUUACACUUUUUCUCAUGUUAAUGUCAUGUACUUAUAUGCUUGUAUAGAUCUUUGUUGAACAGAACUACCUUGCAUUUGUAAUAAAACUUUUAUUUGAUGCCUUGUGGUAUGUGCUUGUCAGUGGUUGAUGACACGAAACUAACUUGUUAUGAAUGUUACUUUUAAUAAUUUCUAUGAAUUGUUUGUCCAGUUAACUUUAUUUCAAUUGAAAAUUAUUACUUAUAAAAAAAAUGAAAAUGAUUAUAUCUUUAUUCUUGGGUGAUAGAUAGUCAUUUGUGAGCUUAAGGAAAUUGUAAAAGAGACGGUUCUUGAUAAGGUUCUUAUAUGUUUCUGCUCAUCCUGCUGAUGAUACUUUCAGAUCCAUUGUAUUACUCGAUAUCUCCUUUCAUCUUCGAAUUUUUCUGGACAGUGUUGAAGUAGUCAUGGGUAGAUCACCUGAGCUUGUCAGCUUAGACCAUUUUUUUGAUAUAUUAUAUCAAUUUAGUGCUACGACGCCAAUUUUGAAUGCUUGAUUUCCCGAAUGGAAGGCAACCAUUAUACAGCUACUGCACUUGAAUUUUUCAGAUUAUCUCGAUCCUGAUAAUCUUGCUUCUCUCAAUCCAUUUUUUGUUUCUCUAAGUUCCAAGGUAAAAAUCAAGUCCUUAACAAUCUGUCCGAAUUAUUACAAUGAGAUCUACAAGCAUUGUUAGUGGCUUCUACCUUUCCGUUUCCUCCCUGCCCGAAUGCAGCGAUCUGCCUGUCUCUCUCUCUGUUCGCAGUCAUUAGAACUCCAGCAGCCUCCUCCUCUCCAGCUCAGCUCCAACGGCAACUACUCCGCCGACCACCACCAAAGCAAUAGCGGCUUGGUCCCCUCUUCUUCCUCGCAGCUUCCCCCACCACAUGCAGCCUCCACCUCGCUGUUGUCGCUCCACGAAACCUGAGGCACAACUUGAGCUCCCCAUUGCAGCGGCCCUACCUCCGUUCCGAUUAGUCUUAGUUCCUUCCUGGCAAGAAGCCCGAGCCUCAGCUCAUCUUUCCUCUCCACUUACCAGUAGCACUGACCUGACUAUGGUAAGGCUCGCUGAGAUUCCAAAAUCCCUAAUUUAGCUAUUUAUGCGUGGCUGAGAUGAUUGAUUAUCCUUCAAUCGAUUUGUGCUUGUUUUGUUCGAUUUUGAUAAGUAGAGGUCGUGUUUGUUGUGCUAGCUGAGUUGCAUGACGAUUCUUUGUCUGAUUCAUGAUAGUUGGACAUGAUUUUGUGUGCUUGAAAUGGUGUUCAAGUACGUGGCUGAGUUGUGGAAUGUUGCUUCAAUGAUUGAAUGUUGCCUUACAAAUCUUGGCUUAAGGUCACAGGUAAACUGCCCAGGUUCGAUGUUCUAGGAAGUUGAAACACAUAUAUCACCGAAUGAAAGAAAUAGGUUGUUUUGGAAUAAUUUCAAAGGAACACAUUUUUGUUAAGCACUUAGUAGACAAGUUGAUUGUUGACUUUUUUAAUAUUUUAUUUAAUGUCAGAGAGUAUUUGCUAUCCUUGGCCUUCUUAAUGGAAUGCAUAUAUAAGGAUUGGAUCAAUAUAACGAUGAGUAUCAUUGAUCAAUACGGUUAUGGAUUUGUCUGUGGGUGUGAGAACAACUGUCUCCUCAUUAUUUUGACCUGAUGAGAAUUGCAGAGGAUUUGUCGAGGAAACUGUGGAAGCUUUCAACUUGGUAUGGGAGAAAGUCUCUGUUUUCCUAUAAUUUUAAGUCUCAUUUUUCUUCGAAAAAAAAAAAAAUUGGAGAGAAGAUUUCAUGCUUCAUUGAAAGAAUUCAUCUUCUUAAACAUAAUUUCCUUCUUAUUUCCUUACGCUUUUCGUAUAUGAAUAUGUUAUGCUUGGACCAAUAUCUAGAAAACACUAUUCAUAAAAUAAGCUUCAUGAACUUCAAUUUUCUUUCAAGAGCAUCACCUUGAGAAUAAAUGCCUAAAAUCUCCAAAAAAAAUUCCUCUGCAGCCAAAUAUUAUUAAUAUAUAGUAUAACAAAUGUUAAAAAUAUAUGUUGCAAAAAAUGAAUCUGGAGAAUAGAAUGAAGUUUAUAUUAAGAGUGUUUUCCAUGAUUUGGAAUAUAUUUAUUUAGACAUGUUCAAUUUUCCACUUCCAAAUUUAGUCAUAUAAAUAGUGAGUCAUAACAAUAAAUAUUGUAACUUUUGUUAGUUCGACCUUAUGACCACAUCUAUAUUUUUUUAGGAGAAUUUACCUAAAAUGGUUCAUGGUUUAUCUAUUUUGUCAAAUCUAUAAUAUGUUUUUUUUAUCAAAUCUAUCAUAUAGUUUACUUUUUGCAUUAAAUCUAUGUCGGCUUUAUCUUUUUCGUCGACAUCUAACGGCCGUGUUGACGUGGUGUCUACGUGGCAAGUAUAGUCCACUAUCUCUCCACGUGCCAAGUCAAUAUGGCCGUUAGAUGUUGACGGAAAAGAUAACGCCGGGAUAAAUUUGAUACAAAAAAUAAACCAUGUGAUAGAUUUGACAAAAUAGAUAAACCAUUGACCAUUUUAGGUAAAAAUCCUUUUUUUUUUUUUAUAUAUAUCUCAAACUCUACUUCUCUUAGAAUUGAAACUUAUGGUGCAGAAUUUCAUGGAGAAAGAUCUCCUAGGUUUAAAAUGUGCUCCCGAAUUCUUACAGCUAAGGUGAAAGGAAAUCUAGAGCGCAUCCUAAUUCUUUAAUGCUAUUACCGUUGAAGAUAAGUCAUUAUAAUAGUCAUUAUUGUCAGCGCUCAGCUUAGUUAAUACAAUAUUUAAGCCAUUUUAUGCCAUUAGCACGAAAUCUACACCUUUCUGUGUUGAUUCAACUAGAUAUGCACAAUAAUGUAUGACAUUUUUGAAGAUCUAUACAUGUACUUUAUUCUCGUCUUUUUCUAGCAAAGUGAAUAAUUAAAACAUUUUCAUGUAAUAUUUAUAUUCAUUGACAUUUUGUGUAUAUUGGUCUAUUUGUAUUUAUAAUCAAUUAGUUUAUUGGGCAUUUGAAAUUAAAUUCAAAAUUAGAAAAAAAAAAAAAAAGAAAUAAGAUUAUACCUAUCAUUUGGUGCAGGUAUA